GAUCUUACCCAAAGGUCCACCUUUAUUGGUGUUGCAGCUUUGGGUCGGGUCUUACCUCUUGGUGAACGGGUGUGCCCUUCACUGGGUGCGCCCGGGAACCAGGACUUUUACCUUGAGAAAAUUAGAGUGUUCAAAGCAGGCCUUUGCCCGAAUACAUUAGCAUGGAAUAAUAGAAUAGGA
RNAcentral lists this ribosomal RNA (180 nucleotides) under uncultured Glomeromycotina. RNAcentral's name for it is "partial small subunit ribosomal RNA". The record is from RNAcentral. Lineage: Eukaryota; Fungi; Glomeromycota.